UACGUAGGUCCCGAGCGUUAUCCGGAGUUACUGGGCGUAAAGCGUCUGUAGCCGGUUUUGUAAGUCUAUUUUUAAAGACUCUGACUUAAUCAGAGAAAGGGAAUAGAUACUGCAUUUCUAGAGUUAUUUAGGGGUUAGUGGAAUUUCCGGUGGAGCGGUGAAAUGCGUUGAUAUCGGAAGGAAUGCCGAAAGCGAAAGCAGCUAACUAUAAAUUUACUGACGGUCAGAGACGAAAGCUUGGGUAGCAAACGGG
RNAcentral lists this ribosomal RNA (253 nucleotides) under uncultured bacterium. RNAcentral's name for it is "partial 16S ribosomal RNA". It matches the Rfam family "Bacterial small subunit ribosomal RNA", at positions 524 to 776 of the family's 1533-position model. The record is from RNAcentral.